This is a small nuclear RNA of Pogoniulus pusillus (Red-fronted tinkerbird), 164 nucleotides long. RefSeq annotates it as U1 spliceosomal RNA. The record is from RefSeq and is a predicted model, not a curated record. The transcript has a single exon. Lineage: Eukaryota; Metazoa; Chordata; Aves; Piciformes; Lybiidae.
AUACUCACCUGGCAGGGGAGACGCCAUGGUCAGGUAGGUGGUUUUCCCAGGAUGAGGCUUAUCCUUUGCAGUCCAGGUGUGCUGACCCCUGUGAUUUCCCCAGAUGCAGGAAACUUGACAGCACAAUUCAUGGUAGUGGAGGGCUGCAUUUGUGCUCUUCCCUG